RNAcentral lists this ribosomal RNA (229 nucleotides) under uncultured bacterium. RNAcentral describes it as "partial 16S ribosomal RNA". It matches the Rfam family "Bacterial small subunit ribosomal RNA", at positions 568 to 796 of the family's 1533-position model. The record is from RNAcentral.
UGCGCAGGCGGACCUAUCAGUCAGCGGUGAAAUCUCUCGGCUCAACCGGGAAACUGCCAUUGAUACUGUAGGUCUUGAGUUUGGUUGAAGUGGGCGGAAUGUAGCAUGUAGCGGUGAAAUGCAUAGAUAUGCUACAGAACACCGAUCGCGAAGGCAGCUCACUAAACCAAAACUGACGCUCAGGCACGAAAGCGUGGGGAGCGAACAGGAUUAGAUACCCUGGUAGUCC